GAGCUGUGAUGAUAUCUGCGCUAGAUGUUGGCAGUUGGGUCUGCCACAAACUUCUGAUUCAUUCUGAGGAAAAGAUGGCGCUGCUGAGCUC
Diospyros lotus (date-plum) is the source of this 91-nucleotide small nucleolar RNA. RefSeq annotates it as small nucleolar RNA snoR114. Lineage: Eukaryota; Viridiplantae; Streptophyta; Magnoliopsida; Ericales; Ebenaceae. The record is from RefSeq and is a predicted model, not a curated record. The transcript has a single exon.